GUGGUGGCCUGGCAGCACGGUUCAUUGUUGUUGGCUGUUUUAUUGUAAAUUUUGUUAUCAGGCGUUGCAGACGUACCCGGUUGUAGCGCGGCUGCUUGAAUAACAAUUUUCGAAGCGAAAACAAACAGCCAAAAGUUGUUACGAUUUAUUGCAAUUGCCAAAUUGAAUAUAACGCUUUUAAGCAAUGAUGUUGCUAGAACAUAUGACAAACAUAGCGGUAAACGCGUUGAGACAUGGCAUCAAUGUAAAUUGCGCGGGUUUAAUUUAAAAAUUAUGAAUUGAAUAAUUGCAGCCAGUACAAGUACAAGUAUUAAAGCUGUUAUUAUUAUUGUUAAAUUCAAAUAAUAAUUGUGCAAUGCGAGUGUAAAUGACUGUUGUGAAUUUGUUUGUUUUUUUGUUAUUGUGCUCGUGCUGCGCUACGCCCUAAAAGGGUGUGUGCUAAAAAAAAUCAUACUGCGCCCAGGACCAGGAAGAGGAGUAACAACGACGACUGAAGCAAGACGAGUUGAGAGGAGAGUGGGAGUAAAAACAGAUUUUUCUAUUUCUAUUGCGCGGUGCCAAAGUAAAAAGCUAAACAGCAACUGUCAGCAAUUAAGAAGAAGAAGACGCCCAGCAACUUAAAGCCAAAGAUUGAUGACUAACAAUAACGAACUAAGAAAUUACAAACAUGCCCCAUUGUUUGUCUAAAUGAGCCAGAUACGCAAAGUACAACUACGGAAAUAUUGCAAACUUCGCCG
Long non-coding RNA from Drosophila busckii, 737 nucleotides. RefSeq lists it as uncharacterized. The transcript has 4 exons. The record is from RefSeq and is a predicted model, not a curated record. NCBI's taxonomy places the organism in Eukaryota, Metazoa, Arthropoda, Insecta, Diptera, Drosophilidae.